Molecule: RNA transcript, 2224 nt
Organism: Suricata suricatta (meerkat)
Lineage: Eukaryota; Metazoa; Chordata; Mammalia; Carnivora; Herpestidae
Gene: YEATS4
Gene name: YEATS domain containing 4
Exons: 9
Source: RefSeq, a predicted model, not a curated record
CCGGGACGCCGCCCGCCGCAAGGAGUUUGCUGUGUCCCAGCGCCGCGAGCCCGGGUGACUCGCCCUCGCUCUACCCUGAAACCUUCCGCCUGAGCCCGCGCAGGAGGAGCGGGGCCUCUGACGGGAGCGGCGACCCCGCCGGCCCCGGUCUCUUUCCCUGGCGGCGGCGGCUUCUUCUAUAGGACAAUAUGUUCAAGAGAAUGGCCGAAUUUGGGCCUGACUCCGGCGGGAGAGUGAAGGGGGUUACUAUUGUUAAACCAAUAGUUUAUGGUAAUGUUGCUCGAUAUUUCGGAAAGAAAAGAGAAGAGGAUGGGCACACCCAUCAGUGGACAGUGUAUGUCAAACCAUAUAGAAAUGAGGAUAUGUCAGCAUAUGUGAAGAAAAUCCAAUUUAAAUUACAUGAAAGCUAUGGCAAUCCUUUAAGAGUUGUUACUAAGCCUCCAUAUGAAAUUACUGAAACAGGAUGGGGUGAAUUCGAAAUAAUCAUCAAAAUAUUUUUCAUUGAUCCUAAUGAAAGACCUGUGACCCUCUAUCAUUUAUUAAAGCUGUUUCAGUCAGACACUAAUGCAAUGCUGGGAAAAAAGACAGUCGUUUCAGAGUUCUAUGAUGAAAUGAUAUUUCAAGACCCAACAGCAAUGAUGCAACAGUUAUUAACAACAUCUCGCCAGCUAACAUUAGGAGCCUAUAAGCAUGAAACAGAAUUUGCAGAACUUGAAGUGAAAACCAGAGAAAAAUUAGAAGCUGCGAAAAAAAAAACAAGCUUUGAAAUUGCAGAGCUUAAGGAGAGAUUAAAGGAUAAAAUGAAUGUUUCACCUAAGUAUUGACAGAGAAGACAGCACUGAUGAUCCCAAAGGAUAGACCGGGAACCAUAGGCCAUCUGGAAGAUGGAGAUAGCUGAAAGACAGUGGAUCUUGGAGUCAGAGAAACAAUGACAGCCCAAGGAGCAGUUUGCUGUGGGAAGGCUAAAGACCCCAGAUCUCCAUCUCCCCCUCCAUCCAACCCAAAUAAAUAUACUAAGUAAAGCAAUGAGCUAGCUAUGCAAACACAGCUUUAAGAAAGGUCCUCUACCCACAUUUCCAUCUAAUCCUUUUGGAGACUCUGUUACAGACAAGCCGAACUGAAUCCUGCUCUACCGUUUAUUAGCUUUAACAUGAAUUAUUUCACAUCUGUAAACUUCAUUUAUCUAUUCUAUAAAACUGACGCAAUGUUACCCAUCUCAAGAUUAUCAUCGCUCUAACUGCAGCUAAUGCACACAAACUGCAUAUUUGAUAUUUUCUAUUCAUUUACAAAACUCAAAUAUCUAAAUAACAAUUCCACAUUCCAAUAAAAAGUGCAUUUUGAUUAUCCCACAAAUUGGAUAAAUGGUUUAGUCUUAUGUGAUACAAGAAUAAAUGUUUAAACUGCACAAACUCCAUCCACUUUAGUCCAGAACUUUCUGUUUACUUCCAAAUAAGAUGGGAAAUUCUUGGCAUGUGAUGUCUAGAAGUAGGGGAAUGCGCUGACUUUUCAAGCAGAGAAUCCCUGGACUUCAAGGGUAAGAGCUGGUCUGGCCCACUGAUAAGUGCCCAGACAUUGAAACCAGACUAAUUUGGGAUUAACUGGGGUGAUGUAGUUGAUUGCUCAUCAGUGGCAUUGAAAAUGAGUUUGCACUGCCUUGCACUUACAUGGCUUUCUUUCUCAGGAGAAAUGUUGCCAUAAACUGUUUUGUGAGAUGCCAACAACUUGGCAAGGAAGAAAGUCUUCCACAAAAUAUUGUAGUCAUUGGGAGGGCAAAACUCUAGGAAGUCCACCCACAUUCUUGCGGGAUGCAGACAGACGUCUGCAAAGAACAUAAGCAGAGCAGUUUAAAAGCAAUAGUAUCGUGCAAGGUGUGAGCCCACAUGCAGAAGGAACAGUCCUUUGCCCUCAAAGCCAGGGACCCUGAAAUUUGUUUCCCCUGUUGGCCUUUGGACCCCUCUAUUUUAGUAUUUCUAACUUAAGUUGUUAAAUGGGCAAAAGUCAGUGUACUCAGUGGUUCCGAACCAAUAUUUAGUUUCAUGAAAGUAUCUGGAGCUGGUAAUGGACCCAGUGACAGGGACCAUUUCAAAGUAAGUAUGGAUCCAAAAAUGGGAGGGAAACACCCUUCAUGCUUGAUAAGAGGUGGUACAUCUAUAAAUGCCAAGACCAGCUGUGUGUGGGGACAAGUGAGGGAAAGCCUGUGUGCAGGGAGAUGGUCACAUGUGAA